CUGUCUCCCCGCGAUGCUCUCACCCGCCUGGCCGCGGACGCCGGCCCGCGCGGCCCCCGGUGCUGCUUCGCGGCCUGCGGCACCGGCGUCGCCGAGUUCGGCCUCCGGGAAGCGACACUCCUGGCCUGCCGGUGGGACCUGCACGGCAGGCCUGCGCCGUGGGGGCCGCCAGGGCUUGCUCCGCACAGCCCACGUCUCCCGGCCUCGGGGCUGCGGGAGAACCGGGCUGCUCCAGCCCCCCAGGAAGACACAGAGCGAGCCAGGAGGGAGACUCCUGUCCCAGCUCCCUCGCCUGCCUUGCCAGGAGGAGGACGGGGAGCACCAUGGUGAACACGAAGAGCAUGGAAAGAUGGCCAGGACCACGCAGUCGCUGGAGAAAUUGUCUGGGAUGUCCUUGGAUGGCUGUGAAGAGGCGGGCACGCCGUCGGGGACGGACGAGGCUGAGCCCGCAGAGACCUCGCUCUCCGGAAGGCCGCUGCCGCCCUUCAUCCGCCAGUUCCAGGGCUCGGAGUGGUUCAAGCAGGUCUUCCCCAGCCUGGGCCUGAUGGCCUUUGUGAAGCAAGCGAACAUGGAUGAGUUUGCACACGUGCUCCUGGAAAAGCUGCUUACUGAGGACUACGGCAYGAAGACGCCGAUAUUGCAAGCCCUCCUCACGCUCUGCAACCAGCCUGAGCCGAAGAUUCAGCAUCGGCUUCAAGACGUCCUGCUUUACCUCCUGAAGUGGAGGAACCCUCCCGCAACGCAGGCGAGCGCAGCAYGCUCCUUGCCUUCUCCUCUCCCGACGCGGGGCUAAAACUGGUCCCUCCAGACCCUGGGAGGGCCCACGCGGCGUUCAGGCGCCAGCGGUCACUGCACAGCACCGGGCAGCAGCUCUGCCCAUCCGGCUCUCUGCCGGGGCGCUUGCCUUGGGCGCAGGCUCCGGGGUCCUGGAGCGCUUUGCACAGCGUGGGAUACCCUCUCCUCUCUGCACCGCACGUGCUCCCUGCUCUUCCUCCCACGUGAUGUGCCGGAGCCUUACUGAGGGCAGAACUCAACGGUCACAAACAGCUGGUUUUGCUGCUCCAUCACACUUCACAAGCAGACACCUCCAUGGAGCUCCUUUCCUGCUGGGAGCGAGGCUGGACUGAUGCUCUUUCUUCUCCCAUUGCAGGAAAAAAAUCAGAAAAGAUUUGUCCUAACCUGCUUCCGAGCCCUCACGGAUAUUUGCACGGGCAGCGAAAGCUUGCUCAUGGCGUAUUCCCUCCAGGCUCCYGUCUCCAGCCGGUGCGUGGCGGGGUGCACGCAGGGAGGGCCGGUGCGCUGUGAAGGGGGAAGCGGAGCCUCACCUUUCCCGAGCGAACCAUAGGCUCUCCAGGACGAGUCUUAAACCAGAGCAAACGGCAGGCGCCUCCUGGCAGACCCUGGCUGCUCCACAUCAGCAGUAGCGACUCUUCUUCCACGCCGUGUCAGAAGUUUUUGCYUGGGCCAAGAAACUGGGGCACGCUCUGCCCCGGGCUUGCGGCGAGGUGGAAGAGGUCUAGGCCAUUCGGUAUCCGUCCCCUGAGCAUCGCGGCGGGGGUCGGGUGCUGCUCGGUGUUUUAGACCCGUCAUGUCCACAGCCGGCCACGUUCUUGCGCCCCACGUCCCGUCCGCAACCUUGCGGGUCAGGUUUCUCUCCUCCGCUCAUCUGACACCGGCCUCCUUCAUCCUUGCCUGCAAAGGGACUCCCUGCGACCGCGCCGGGAGCUGAGCUCAGCGUCCCGUUUCGCGGCGUGGCUGGGGCUGCCGAUGCGCAGGCUUGCAGCCCAGGCGCG
This is a long non-coding RNA of Apteryx rowi (Okarito brown kiwi), 1793 nucleotides long. The record is from Ensembl. Lineage: Eukaryota; Metazoa; Chordata; Aves; Apterygiformes; Apterygidae.